Molecule: ribosomal RNA, 460 nt
Filed under: uncultured bacterium
Lineage: Bacteria
Description: partial 16S ribosomal RNA
Rfam family: Bacterial small subunit ribosomal RNA
Source: RNAcentral
CCUACGUGAGGCAGCAGUGAGGAAUAUUGGUCAAUGGGCGCGAGCCUGAACCAGCCAAGUAGCGUGAAGGAUGACUGCCCUACGGGUUGUAAACUUCUUUUAUCAAGGAAUAAAGUGAGGCACGGGUGCCUUUUUGUAUGUACUUUAUGAAUAAGGAUCGGCUAACUCAGUGCCAGCAGCCGCGGUAAUACGGAGGAUCCGAGCGUUAUCCGGAUUUAUGGGGUUUAAAGGGAUCGUGGAUGGGUUGUUAAUUCAGUUGUGAAAGUUUGCGGCUCAACCGUAAAAUUGCAAUUGAUACUGGCAGUCUUGAGUACAGGUGAGGUAGGCGGAAUUCGUGGUGUAGCGGUGAAAUGCUUAGAUAUCACGAAGAACUCCGAUGGCGAAGGCAGCUUACUAAACUGCCACUGACAUUGAUGCUCGAAAGUGUGGGUAUCAAACAGGAUUAGAUACCCUUGUAGUC